Molecule: long non-coding RNA, 1115 nt
Organism: Carassius gibelio (silver crucian carp)
Lineage: Eukaryota; Metazoa; Chordata; Actinopteri; Cypriniformes; Cyprinidae
Exons: 2
Source: RefSeq, a predicted model, not a curated record
CAUGUUCUGCAGAAUAGACACGAGGGUGAGUAUGAAAGAUAGAAUCUUCACGGUUAGAUUAACUAUUCCUUUAAAUGUAAAUUAUUAUAUCAUGGUUCUUUAUCGCAAUGUUUGUCUACAUAUGACUUUAUUAUCGCACUGACUGUGAUCUAGAGAGAAAUAUGGCCUACUGAAGCGAUCCGGUUUAAGCAGUAUGAAAUAAAACAGACUAAUUGGCACUACAGGGAGCAGGAUGAUUAAUUGAGAGAAUGAACAUAGACAGCGCUGGAACUGAAGAGCGCAAACUGCAUCUGCUUACUGUCUGUUACUGGCGCAGUCGGAGGCCAGGAGCGGGUCACUGUGCUGCUGUGGAUCUCACUGCUCAGUGGGGGGCAGCAGCACACUUACUACAUCUCUGGGUUGUUGAUUCAUAAUAAAAUAUUACAAUGUGUAUCUACACGGAUCCAUUUGUUGUAAAAUUCUGCCUGUAAAGGUUUCUGGGAAACGAUAUCGUUCACGCACGAAAUGGUUUGGUGCGAAGAUGUUUAUUUGAAAUGCGAGAGCAAGAUGAGGAAUCUUCAUGAAAGUGAUGACAUGAGCAAACACCACAAGAACAUCUGGCAUCCCUCCCUUCAUCUCUCACCUGUUUCUCAGGACCUUGAGCUCCUAUAAAUGGCACCUCUUGAAAGAUGUUGAUGCAGGCAGUGUUUGAGCAGCCUGCCCAUUUCCUGGCCAGGAAAGACAGUUUGCUUAAGCUGCUCGAUUUCUCAGAGGAUUGAGAAGUUUGCCACUUGCAGCUUCUGCUUAUGUAGCACAACAUGAGCAUCACGCUGAACCUCUCCAGCUUCACAAAGAACGCCAUGGGAAUAUUCUCUCUGUGUACUGCUCCACAUAUCAUCACAAAAAGGAUGUCAUACAAAUGUGUUUAUCUUUGCUUUUAACUGCUCCUGAUCCAGUAGCGGUGACCAUUACAUACAUUAUGUAUUAACUAGCCUACAUACGAUUUAUAACCUGGGAAACAGACAUUUUCUUCGUUCCAUAAUUACAGAAAUGCUAUCUCCUGAGUCCUGAAAACAACUCGGAACACAGCAGCUUGAUUGAUAGUUUUGUGGGAAUAAAGACUCAGUGUUCAUUUC